GAUGAACGCUGGCGGCGUGCCUAAUACAUGCAAGUCGAGCGAACGGACGAGAAGCUUGCUUCUCUGAUGUUAGCGGCGGACGGGUGAGUAACACGUGGAUAACCUACCUAUAAGACUGGGAUAACUUCGGGAAACCGGAGCUAAUAGCGGAUAAUAUUUUGAACCGCAUGGUUCAAAAGUGAAAGACGGUCUUGCUGUCACUUAUAGAUGGAUCCGCGCUGCAUUAGCUAGUUGGUAAGGUAACGGCUUACCAAGGCAACUAUGCAUAGCCGACCUGAGAGGCUGAUCGGCCACACUGGAACUGAGACACGGUCCAGACUCCUACGGGAGGCAGCAGUAGGGAAUCUUACGCAAUGGGCGAAAGCCUGACGGAGCAACGCCGCGCGAGUGAUGAAGGUCUUCGGAUCGUAAAGCUCUGUUAUUAGUGAAGAACAUAUGUGUAAGGAACUGUGCACAUCUUGACGGUACCUAAUCAGAAAGCCACGGCUAACUACGUG
RNAcentral lists this ribosomal RNA (497 nucleotides) under uncultured bacterium. RNAcentral's name for it is "partial 16S ribosomal RNA". It matches the Rfam family "Bacterial small subunit ribosomal RNA", at positions 28 to 507 of the family's 1533-position model. The record is from RNAcentral.